Small nuclear RNA from Myodes glareolus (Bank vole), 103 nucleotides. The record is from RefSeq and is a predicted model, not a curated record. Lineage: Eukaryota; Metazoa; Chordata; Mammalia; Rodentia; Cricetidae.
GUGCUUGCUCUGGCAGCACACAUAGUAAAACCGGAACUAUACGGGGAUUAGCACGGCCCUGUGCAAGGAUGGCAUACAAAUUCAUGAAGCUGUCCCUAGUCUU